This 301-nucleotide ribosomal RNA is filed under the name uncultured bacterium. Its description in RNAcentral is "partial 16S ribosomal RNA". It matches the Rfam family "Bacterial small subunit ribosomal RNA", at positions 509 to 807 of the family's 1533-position model. The record is from RNAcentral.
CAGCAGCCGCGGGAACACGUAGGGGGCAAGCGUUAUCCGGAAUUACUGGGUGUAAAGGGAGCGUAGACGGUUAAACAAGUCUGAAGUGAAACGCCGGGGCUCAACCCCGGAGCUGCUUUGGGAACUGUAGAACUGGAGUGUCGGAGGGGUAAGCGGAAUUCCCAGUGUAGCGGUGAAAUGCGUAGAUAUUGGGAGGAACACCGGCGGCGAAGGCGGCUUACUGGACGACAACUGACGUUGAGGCUCGAAGGCGUGGGUAGCAGACAGGAUUAGAUACCCCAGUAGUCCCUGUCUCUUAUAC